Molecule: ribosomal RNA, 498 nt
Filed under: Staphylococcus pseudintermedius
Lineage: Bacteria; Bacillati; Bacillota; Bacilli; Caryophanales; Staphylococcaceae
Description: partial 23S ribosomal RNA
Rfam family: Bacterial large subunit ribosomal RNA
Source: RNAcentral
GGAGGCGCUCAAAGGUUCCCUCAGAAUGGUUGGAAAUCAUUCAUAGAGUGUAAAGGCAUAAGGGAGCUUGACUGCGAGACCUACAAGUCGAGCAGGGUCGAAAGACGGACUUAGUGAUCCGGUGGUUCCGCAUGGAAGGGCCAUCGCUCAACGGAUAAAAGCUACCCCGGGGAUAACAGGCUUAUCUCCCCCAAGAGUUCACAUCGACGGGGAGGUUUGGCACCUCGAUGUCGGCUCAUCGCAUCCUGGGGCUGUAGUCGGUCCCAAGGGUUGGGCUGUUCGCCCAUUAAAGCGGUACGCGAGCUGGGUUCAGAACGUCGUGAGACAGUUCGGUCCCUAUCCGUCGUGGGCGUAGGAAAUUUGAGAGGAGCUGUCCUUAGUACGAGAGGACCGGGAUGGACAUACCUCUGGUGUACCAGUUGUCGUGCCAACGGCAUAGCUGGGUAGCUAUGUAUGGACGGGAUAAGUGCUGAAAGCAUCUAAGCAUGAAGCCCCCCU